Molecule: ribosomal RNA, 274 nt
Filed under: uncultured Bacteroides sp.
Lineage: Bacteria; Pseudomonadati; Bacteroidota; Bacteroidia; Bacteroidales; Bacteroidaceae
Description: partial 16S ribosomal RNA
Rfam family: Bacterial small subunit ribosomal RNA
Source: RNAcentral
UGAACUUAGCUUGCUAAGGCCGAUGGCGACCGGCGCACGGGUGAGUAACGCGUAUCCAACCUGCCUUACACUCUUGGACAGCCUUCUGAAAGGGAGAUUAAUACAAGAUGGCAUCAUGAGUUCACAUGUCCGCAUGAUUAAAGGUAUUUUCCGGUAGACGAUGGGGAUGCGUUCCAUUAGAUAGUAGGCGGGGUAACGGCCCACCUAGUCUUCGAUGGAUAGGGGUUCUGAGAGGAAGGUCCCCACAUUGGAACUGAGACACGGUCCAAACUCC